This 255-nucleotide ribosomal RNA is filed under the name uncultured bacterium. RNAcentral's name for it is "partial 16S ribosomal RNA". It matches the Rfam family "Bacterial small subunit ribosomal RNA", at positions 524 to 777 of the family's 1533-position model. The record is from RNAcentral.
UACAGAGGGUGCGAGCGUUGUCCGGAAUUAUUGGGCGUAAAGAGCUCGUAGGCGGUGUGUCGCGUCGGUCGUGAAAACUUGGGGCUUAACUCUGAGCUUGCGGUCGAUACGGGCAUCACUGGAGUUCGGCAGGGGAGACUGGAAUUCCUGGUGUAGCGGUGAAAUGCGCAGAUAUCAGGAGGAACACCGGUGGCGAAGGCGGGUCUCUGGGCCGAUACUGACGCUGAGGAGCGAAAGCGUGGGGAGCGAACAGGA